UUAUCUCGCUACGGAGCGCACAUAAAAGAAGUGUACUCUUUAAUAUUGUCAGCAGCUUCUUCCACCGACAUGGUAGCAGCUUGAACCACCUGGAUGAUGUCACUUAGAGCUUAAAAGGCGUGGAUGUGCAGGGACAUAACUCUUUGAUCCCCAUUUCCUGCUGCAGGCAUGAGAUCUCACAGAAGCUCCCAUGACCAACCUUGAUUUCAGAAGAUAAACAAACACGGACAAUUGGCGCUAACAGCUGGCUGUCCUGGCAUGUGUUCUGUCAUGCAGUGACAAAAACUAAAUGAAUAAAGAUAAAUAAUGCCA
Long non-coding RNA from Notolabrus celidotus (New Zealand spotty), 312 nucleotides. RefSeq lists it as uncharacterized. NCBI's taxonomy places the organism in Eukaryota, Metazoa, Chordata, Actinopteri, Labriformes, Labridae. The record is from RefSeq and is a predicted model, not a curated record. The transcript is spliced from 2 exons.